AGUGUCGUAAGGGUGCGUAACGGGUAUGCAAUCUGCCCUGUACAGGAGGAUAGCUCCCCGAAAGGGGAAUUAACCCUCCAUAAGAUCACACGAGGGCAUCUGAGAGUGAUUAAAACUGAGGUGGUACAGGAUGAGCAUGCUUCUGAUUAGCUAGUUGGUGAGGUAACGGCUCACCAAGGCGAUGAUCAGUAGGGGAACUGAGAGGUUGAUCCCCCACACUGGCACUGAGAUACGGGCCAGACUCCUACGGGAGGCAGCAGUAGGGAAUAUUGGACAAUGGGUGGAAGCCUGAUCCAGCCAUGCCGCGUGCAGGAAGACGGCCUUCUGGGUUGCAAACUGCUUUUGCCUGUGGAUAAAAAGACUCUGCGGAGUAAAUUGAAGGUAGCAGGUGAAUAAGCCACGGCUAACUACGUGCCAGCAGCCGCGGUAAUACGUAGGUGGCAAGCGUUGUCCGGAUUUAUUGGGUUUAAAGGGUGCGUAGGCGGUCUGUUAAGUCAAUGGUGAAAUACGGCAGCUCAACUGCCGAGGUGCCAUUGAUACUGGCGGACUUGAGUACUGAUGAGGUAGGCGGAAUGGACGGUGUAGCGGUGAAAUGCUUAGAUAUCGUCCAGAACACCGAUAGCGAAGGCAGCUUACUAAGGAGUAACUGACGCUGAGGCACGAAAGUGUGGAGAUCAAACAGGAUUAGAUACCCUGGUAG
RNAcentral lists this ribosomal RNA (700 nucleotides) under uncultured bacterium. Its description in RNAcentral is "bacterial SSU rRNA". It matches the Rfam family "Bacterial small subunit ribosomal RNA", at positions 94 to 793 of the family's 1533-position model. The record is from RNAcentral.